RNAcentral lists this ribosomal RNA (466 nucleotides) under uncultured bacterium. Its description in RNAcentral is "partial 16S ribosomal RNA". It matches the Rfam family "Bacterial small subunit ribosomal RNA", at positions 28 to 507 of the family's 1533-position model. The record is from RNAcentral.
GAUGAACGCUGGCGGCGUGCUUAACACAUGCAAGUCGAACGAUGAAGCCCAGCUUGCUGGGUGGAUUAGUGGCGAACGGGUGAGUAACACGUGAGUAACCUGCCCUUAACUCUGGGAUAAGCCUGGGAAACUGGGUCUAAUACCGGAUAGGAGCGUCCACCGCAUGGUGGGUGUUGGAAAGAUUUAUCGGUUUUGGAUGGACUCGCGGCCUAUCAGCUUGUUGGUGGGGGAGUGGCUCACCAAGGCGAUGACGGGUAGCCGGCCUGAGAGGGUGACCGGCCACAGUGGGACUGAGAUGCGGCCCAGACUCCUACGGGAGGCAGCAGUGGGGAAUAUUGCACAAUGGGCGGAAGCCUGCUGCAGCAACGCCGCGUGCGGGAGGACGGCCUACGGGUGGUAAACCGCUUUAGCAGGUGACGAAGCGUGAGUGACGGUACUGGGUAAAGAAGCAACGGCUAACUACGUG